GUGGGGAGAGAUGGGACAAGUUUUGGGGGCUGGAUAGGGAUAAAAUACACAGGGAAGGUGAGAACAUGGCUGGAGCUGCCAACUGGAAGUAGUUUCCUAUAGUUCAGUGCAGCUGUCAUGGCACACCAAUGAGGAAGGACCAAAGAACUUUAUUUUAUUUUUUUUAUCUUGAGAUAAGGUCGUACGCUGAGAGCUAUGGGGAAUCCAUGGAAGGAUAUGAAGCAAGGGAAGAGCACGGCCAGAGAGUGGUGUGGAAAGGUCACUCUCAUUGCCUUAAGGGCCCACAACGAGGAAGCAGAGAGCCAGUGUUUCCUGAUAACCUGUUAUGACCUGGAAACUUCAUGUGAAUGACAGCAGGCCAGACUGCCAGCCACCUUGCCAGCCAGGGUGAUUGUCCCUGUCUUACAAAUGGGGAAAAUAAACAAGAGGUUAAGACUUUCUCAAUGUUGCCUAGUUAUUAAGAAAUGGAGGAAGACUAAAGGCCUAUUUGUCUAAUCCCAAGGUCUGAGUUUAUUUUAGCUCAAGGAAGACAAAACUAAACACAUCUUUUGAAAAUAUACAAAAUAGAAUUUCAGAAUGAUCAAUGAUUGCUUAUGCAUUGUCUUUAUCACACUGAGGCGUGUCUGAAUCAAGCCAUCCACCUUCUCAUUGGGUGACCCACAGCUUCAAGUCCUGCUUCCUAAAACCAUUGGGACAUGGACCAUCUAAUACUCUUUUCCAGAAUUGGAGAGUCGUGCUGAGAACUAGUGACUUUGGGAUCCCUAUUGGCUAGAAGCUGGUGAUUAUUGGAAGAGGAAACUGAACGACAGUGCCGCUCCCUUGCCACAGUUUUGCUAGAUGACCAUUCCCUCUGAAAUGCCCAGAAAAGCCUUCACAUCCUCCUGGAACCCUGAGGAAUUUAUUAAUGAGGUCCAAUUAUGAGAAAUGUCAGGGUUUUCAUCAACUUCGGAUGUAUGGCUGAAAGGUCCAGCUCAGCCACCCCCUGCGAGAAUGCACAUUAAACAGGAUUUGCUAUGAAUCAGAGCUGAUUUCCCUGCUGUUCUUCAGUUUCAGUCCUACAGGCCCUUCCACACUAUCCACAGUCUGCUUCUUCCUCCUCUUCCUCACACAACAGUGGAUUUCAGCUACCCCACUCCCCAGUACAGGACAAGCCGGAAGCUGCAGACAGCAGCACUGGCUGGCUUCUGUCUCACUCGUGGCUUUCAACUAGGUGCAAUGGAGAGCUUUCCUGGCCACGUCCACCCUCCUCUCCGGGACAAACAGCCUGUUUCCUCUUCCGGGCUAUUUUUGAGGACAGAUGAGAGCCUUGACAAAAAAAUACUUGGAAUAAUUCUUGAAGCAGGUUUUCCAAACACCAUUGAAAAGAAACGAAGAUUUGGGUGAGAGAAUCAACCGUGAAUACUGCUCUAUGUACCGUCCCUAAUGCUUCAGGCCUCACAGAACAAACUGCGGGUCCUUCCCACCAGUGGAAACUGCAGGUUUCCGGGGCGUGGUCUCCUGUGCCUCCCCUUCCCCCGGGAGCCACAGCCUUCCAUCAGCUGCUAUGGGAAUGCCACACGUGGUUUUCCUGCAGCCACUUCCUCUCCUGGGAGAAGCCCGGGCCCCACCCUGCGCGGUUUCACAGGACGAUGCUGGGCUCCUGGGAGCCUGUGGCUGUGAGCUGCUAACAUCCUCCCCCGCUCCUGCAGGGCCCAGGAGCCUCUGCUCAGCUGAUUAAACAUUCUUCAAGGGAAGGCUUUUAAAGGGACCAUUGCACAGAGCGGCCAGGUUACGAAGUAGGUUAGGGGGUCGACUUUCAGAGGAGGGUGCUUCAACGCAGCUGCUAAAUAAUGCAUUUAUUACAACUUCCAAAAAAAAACCAAAACAAAAAACGCGAGCAAAAAUUAUGUUAGGCACAAAGGCAACAAAUCCCGAAACUUCACGGAUUCCUCGUGAUUUUUACUCUUUUCUCCAUUUCAGAUAAUUCAUAUCUACAUAUAUUUCUUCUUAGGACGUUGCUGUCGUAAUAGAAGUCUGAUGUUGGCCACGGUGGAAGCAUUCUUACUUUUGAAAUUGACAAAGGCGACAAAGGAGGGCUUGGCCUAUUUAUUAGCUUAUGGAUUGUCUGGGAGUCUAAAUUUAGGAAAAGGAUGGAGAAGUUGUGGAGAAAUCUGAGUUAAGACUUGACAUCUACAGCUGGACAUGGUGUUUCAAACCCGGAAUACUACUACCAUUGGGAUUCUGAGGCAGGAGGAUUGCAAAUUCUAGGCCAGCUGGGGCAGCAUAGCAAAAUCUUAUCUGAUUCCCCCCCCCCCCCCCGGAGUUUGAUGACAGGAGACUUUUAGAGAAGAGAGGAUCAAAAAGAAAAUGCCCGUGAAGCAAGUGAGGAUAAUGAAAGGAUAUGACCGAAGUCUAUUACAUACUUGUGUGACAAUAUAACAAUAAAGCACGUUGUUCUGUGUAA
Long non-coding RNA from Psammomys obesus (fat sand rat), 2443 nucleotides. RefSeq lists it as uncharacterized. The record is from RefSeq and is a predicted model, not a curated record. Lineage: Eukaryota; Metazoa; Chordata; Mammalia; Rodentia; Muridae. The transcript has 3 exons.